RNAcentral lists this ribosomal RNA (392 nucleotides) under uncultured bacterium. RNAcentral describes it as "bacterial SSU rRNA". It matches the Rfam family "Bacterial small subunit ribosomal RNA", at positions 516 to 908 of the family's 1533-position model. The record is from RNAcentral.
CGCGGUAAUACGUAGGGUGCGAGCGUUAAUCGGAAUUACUGGGCGUAAAGCGUGCGCAGGCGGUUUUGUAAGUCAGAUGUGAAAUCCCCGGGCUUAACCUGGGAACUGCGUUUGAAACUACAAGGCUAGAGUGUAGCAGAGGGGGGUGGAAUUCCACGUGUAGCAGUGAAAUGCGUAGAGAUGUGGAGGAACACCGAUGGCGAAGGCAGCCCCCUGGGUUAACACUGACGCUCAGGCACGAAAGCGUGGGGAGCAAACAGGAUUAGAUACCCUGGUAGUCCACGCCCUAAACUAUGUCAACUAGUUGUCGGGCCUUAACGGGCUUGGUAACGCAGCUAACGCGUGAAGUUGACCGCCUGGGGAGUACGGUCGCAAGAUUAAAACUCAAAGGA